GACGAACGCUGGCGGUAUGCUUAACACAUGCAAGUCGAGCGAGAAUCGUUUAUUGAAGGCUUCGGCUGGAAAUAGAUGAGGAAAGCGGCGAACGGGUGAGUAACGCGUGGGCAACCUGGCCUUAAGAAAAGGAUAGCCCCCGGAAACGGGGAGUAAUACUUUAUGAGAAUGAGAGAGGGCAUCCUACUUUCAUUCAAAGCGCAAGCGCUUAAGGAUGGGCCCGCGUAUCAUUAGCUAGUUGGUGAGAUAACAGCCCACCAAGGCAACGAUGAUUAGCCGGUCUGAGAGGGCGAACGGCCACAUUGGAACUGAGAGACGGUCCAAACUCCUACGGGAGGCAGCAGUGGGGAAUAUUGCGCAAUGGAGAAGAACUCUGACGCAGCAAUACCGCGUGAGCGAAGAAGGUCUUCGGAUCGUAAAGCUCUGUUAUCAGGGAAGAAGAAAAUGACGGUACCUGAUGAGCAAGUCCCGGCUAACUACGUG
Molecule: ribosomal RNA, 483 nt
Filed under: uncultured organism
Description: bacterial SSU rRNA
Rfam family: Bacterial small subunit ribosomal RNA
Source: RNAcentral